ACCGGCGAACGGGUGAGUAACGCGUACACUACCUACCUUAUACAAGGGGACACACACCGGAAACGGAGUAAAUACCCUAUGUUAUCGAUAAAUUAAAGCUCCGGCGGUUUGAGAUGGGCAUGCGUGACAUUAGCUAGUUGGUAAGGUAAAGGCUUACCAAGGCAACGAUGUCUAGGGGUUCUGAGAGGAUGAUCCCCCACACUGGUACUGAGACACGGACCAGACUCCUACGGGCGACAGCAGUGACGAAUAUUGGUCAAUGGGCGCAAGCCUGAACCAGCCAUCCCGCGUGUAGGAAGACUGCCCUAUGGGUUGUAAACUACUUUUAUAAAGGAAGAAACCCUUCUACGUGUAGAAGGCUGACUGUACUUUAAGAAUAAGCACCGGCUAACUCCGUGCCAGCAGCUGCGGUAAUACGGAGGGUGCAAGCGUUAUCCGGAUUUAUUGGGUUUAAAGGGUGCGUAGGCGGGCCUUUAAGUCAGUGGUGAAAUCCUGCAGCUUAACUGUAGAACUGCCAUUGAUACUGAAGGCCUUGAGUAUAGUUGAGGUAGGCGGAAUGUGUAAUCUAGCGGUGAAAUGCUUAGAUAUUACACAGAACACCGAUUGCGUAGACAGCUUACUAAGCUAUAACUGACGCUGAUGCACGAAACCGUGGGGAGCGAACAGGAUUAGAUACCCUGGUAGUCCACGCCGUAAACGAUGAACACUCGUUGUUGUUUAUUUCUCAGUGACUAAGCGAAAGUGAUAAGUGUCCCACCUGGGGAGUACGGUCGCAAGAUUGAAACUCAAAGGAAUUGACGGGGGCCCGCACAAGCGGUGGAGCAUGUGGUUUAAUUCGAUGAUACGCGAGGAACCUUACCAGGGCUUAAAUGUAGGAUGCAUUAGGUAGAGAUACUUAUUUCUUCGGACUUCUUACAAGGUGCUGCAUGGUUGUCGUCAGCUCGUGCCGUGAGGUGUCAGGUUAAGUCCUAUAACGAGCGCAACCCCUAUUUUUAGUUGCUAACAGGUUAAGCUGAGGACUCUAGAGAGACUGCCGGUGCAAACCGCGAGGAAGGUGGGGAUGACGUCAAAUCAUCACGGCCCUUACGUCCUGGGCUACACACGUGCUACAAUGGUAUAGACAAUGAGCAGCCACUGCGUAAGCAGGAGCGAAUCUAUAAACUAUAUCUCAGUUCGGAUCGGAGUCUGUAAUUCGACUCCGUGAAGCUGGAAUCGCUAGUAAUCGGAUAUUAGUUAUGAUCCGGUGAAUACGUUCCCGGGCCUUGUACACACACCGCCCGUCAAGCCAUGGAAGCUGAGGGUACCUGAAGUCGGUCACCGCAAGGAGCCGCCUAGGGUAAAAUUGGUAACUGGGGGUAAGUCGUAACAAGGUAACC
This 1376-nucleotide ribosomal RNA is filed under the name uncultured prokaryote. RNAcentral's name for it is "partial 16S ribosomal RNA". It matches the Rfam family "Bacterial small subunit ribosomal RNA". The record is from RNAcentral.